ACUUUGGAGAGUUUGAUCCUGGCUCAGAGUGAACGCUGGCGGCGUGGAUUAGGCAUGCAAGUCGAGCGAUGCUUGAUGAUGAGUCAGACUGACCGCAAGGAAGGUUUGACAAGUUGUUAAGCACAGCGGCAAACGGGUGAGUAACACGUGAGUAACUUUCCCUUAAGUUGAGCAUAGCGCCGUGAAAACGGCGGUAAUUCUCGAUAGUACCAUAUACCGGCAUCGGGACAUGGUUAAAGGCGGGGACCGCAAGGCCUGCCGCUUAGGGAUGGGCUGUGAAUGCUGGUUAAUAAAUCCUUCGAUCUGCGCGGCGCUGAAUUUCGUA
RNAcentral lists this ribosomal RNA (325 nucleotides) under Candidatus Omnitrophota bacterium. Its description in RNAcentral is "bacterial SSU rRNA". It matches the Rfam family "Bacterial small subunit ribosomal RNA", at positions 1 to 285 of the family's 1533-position model. The record is from RNAcentral. Lineage: Bacteria; Pseudomonadati; Candidatus Omnitrophota.